GGAUCGCCCUUUCCGUAGGUGAACCUGCGGAGGGAUCAUUACUGAGUUUACGCUCUACAACCCUUUGUGAACAUACCUAUAACUGUUGCUUCGGCGGGUAGGGUCUCCGCGACCCUCCCGGCCUCCCGCCUCCGGGCGGGUCGGCGCCCGCCGGAGGAUAACCAAACUCUGAUUUAACGACGUUUCUUCUGAGUGGUACAAGCAAAUAAUCAAAACUUUUAACAACGGAUCUCUUGGUUCUGGCAUCGAUGAAGAACGCAGCGAAAUGCGAUAAGUAAUGUGAAUUGCAGAAUUCAGUGAAUCAUCGAAUCUUUGAACGCACAUUGCGCCCGCCAGCAUUCUGGCGGGCAUGCCUGUUCGAGCGUCAUUUCAACCCUCAAGCUCUGCUUGGUGUUGGGGCCCUACAGCUGAUGUAGGCCCUCAAAGGUAGUGGCGGACCCUCUCGGAGCCUCCUUUGCGUAGUAACUUUACGUCUCGCACUGGGAUCCGGAGGGACUCUUGCCGUAAAACCCCCAAUUUUCCAAAGGUUGACCUCGGAUCAGGUAGGAAUACCCGCUGAACUUAAGCAUAUCAAUAAGCGGAGGAAGGGCGAUCCCA
RNAcentral lists this ribosomal RNA (597 nucleotides) under Colletotrichum gloeosporioides. RNAcentral's name for it is "eukaryotic LSU rRNA". The stretch from base 214 to 367 matches the Rfam family "5.8S ribosomal RNA". The record is from RNAcentral. Lineage: Eukaryota; Fungi; Ascomycota; Sordariomycetes; Glomerellales; Glomerellaceae.